RNAcentral lists this non-coding RNA (117 nucleotides) under Homo sapiens (human). Lineage: Eukaryota; Metazoa; Chordata; Mammalia; Primates; Hominidae. The record is from Rfam by way of RNAcentral.
GCCGGGCGUGGUGGCGCACGCCUGUAAUCCCAGCACUUCGGGAGGCCAAGGCGGGUGGAUCACUUGAGGUCAGGAGUUCGAGACCAGCCUGGCCAACAUGGUGAAACCCCGUCUCUA